Molecule: long non-coding RNA, 2403 nt
Organism: Sebastes umbrosus (honeycomb rockfish)
Lineage: Eukaryota; Metazoa; Chordata; Actinopteri; Perciformes; Sebastidae
Exons: 6
Source: RefSeq, a predicted model, not a curated record
CUUUGAGUAAGAUGCUGUAUUUGGAAAGUAUUUCUAAUUCACUUUAUGUAUAUUUGUUUUGUAAUUAUUGUGUUGGCGAGCUUACAUCAUGUGAGUGUUAGCUAGCUAGUUUAGUUUAGCAAUCAGCUUAGCCUUUUUAAAUUUAAGUUCAGUUACCCUUACUUUAGUUUAGCUUAUUUUAGUUUUAGUUUAAUUUAUCUUAACAGUUUAGUAAUCUUGGUUUAGCUUAGCCUAGAAUAACUUAUUUCAAUUUAGUCUAGUUAAGUUUAGCUUACCGGAAGUUUAAUUUAGUUCAGUUCAGUUAAGCUUGGUUUAGUUUUUGUAUAGAUUAGUUUUUAAUUUAGUUUGGUUGAGUUUGGUUUUAGUUCAUAUUAGCUUAUUUUUGCUUGAUUUAGUAUAGUUUAGUUUAACUUAGCUUAUAGUUAUUUAUUUGUCAGGAAAUGCUCACUAAUGAAAGGAAUUACUUAAAGUUAUUAAACCUACAUUCUCAUCCAUUCUCAUAAAGAAUAUCCAUCAUUGUAUGGAUAAUGUUCAUUUUCUACAUGAAAACCUUGAGUCAGUGUUGGAUUAGGCCUAGCCUAUAUAGUAUUUUGGUAUUCCCCGUACUCAAACUUCUCAUACAUCGGAGACGUUUCACAGCUGCGGUCACGGCACAGGUUUGAACCAGGCGAGAGGGAGUCGAGUUAAUCCCAGGUUGAUCCUCACAACAAAGCAGUGCAGGUGCUGUCAGACAGGUAACUGAUGGGGUUAGAUUGCUCCGACAGAAUUUUAAAGCAGUUAUAAAAGUGACUUUUUUAUUUGAUUGCUGUUAGGUCUUGCUGGCCCUGACUCCAUUCAAGGUUUGUUUGAAGACAACGCAAAAACCGAAGGACAUGGGGAGGGUUUCAGUCAGAACGUUCCACCUCUCGUGGCCACUAAUGGCCGGCGUACAUGCCUCUGCAUUAAUCAGGGUGCUGUGAACCUGCCGUUUAAUCGCAGAGGAAGCCGAGCAGGUUCACUAUACGAUAUCCGACGGCACCGUCACGGAAGUAUAGCACCCACCUCCAGUUCCCCCUCAGAUACAGCUAACAGCAGGAUUUGACAGCAGACGGUCGUCUCCAGUCUCUGAGGAGAGGACACGAGUGGUCGGAGAGUUCAGGCUGAGGUCACUUUCCAAACGUUCCGGUGUGUGCACCGACCCGGCCGUGGGGUGGAGUGAGCAGCGAGAGGUCGUGAGAGGUCAGUGGAGACACCGAGAAGCAGCCAAGCACACUUUGACCAACAUCAGUAACUCACAGAUCAUGCUGGUGUUCUACGGUAUAUUUUUCUUAUUGUCAACAAAAAUGCGUUAAUGUGUUAGUCCGUCUCGCAAUAUAAUACUUGCUGACGGCCUUUUCAUGUCUGUUGCACUCAGCCCCAAGCCCAUUGGUUCCUAUUGAAGACAUAAAUAUUUCGUUCAUAUCUUAAAAAUAAAAAAAGGCUAUAUAAUUUACUAAAACAGCCGGGCACUGUAGUUUUUAGCAAACGUUACUUAAACAGGAGUAAAUAGUCUAUUUGUUGGGAACUAUUUUCAGCUGCAGAUUAAUACAUAUUUUGUGCUCUAGUGAGUAUUUACAACAGUAGGGCAGCACAUGUGGGGUUUAUUCAGAAUAAACUACAGUGAGUGUGUUCAUCGCACUUAAGGAAGAUGUCACCCAGUGCAACAGUGGGGCCAAUUAAUGUGUUUUUGAUAGUUUUUGGACAACGAUGGAGUUCUAUGAGAGGAAUAAGAAAAAUCAGGCUUUGGAUACAGAGACGAUACUUGUCAGUACGAUAAAUUCAUUUGCCAUGUUUCCAUUCACCUCUUUUUAUUUUUAUUAGAAAUGCUGUAUGUAAAUGGCAAGAUUCGAUAAAACUCCCUCAAUUGUGAAAAAAAGUUGAGGUGGUUUUUGCCUUUGUUGAAAAAGAGUUGAUGGGCUAAAUGCUUUAUGGAAACACCUUUGCCGAAUAAAUUCUGACGUAAUUGGAACUCACAUGACUGAUCACCUGUCUCCGCUCUCGGCGUCUUUGCGGAUAUUCCUAUAUUGUGCAAAUACUUGUCUUUGUCUCUGGACAGCAUGAAACAUGGUCAAUACUGGCUGACAUGAAAGAACAAUUAAAACUUGUCCAAUAGAAAGUAAUUUUCGAAGACCUCUCUCCACUUUUCUCUCGUAGAUGGGUUAGAUGCAGGUUGUACCUCUUUCACAACAAUGACCAGGGUUAUCAGACCCAUGUUCAAACCCUAUUUGUCAAUUCAAACUAAGCCAGUCAACUCGGGUUAAUCCCAUGUCAUGCCAAUUCAGAUACGACCUGGGUCACAACCCGGGAGCAAUGCAUACCAAUUAGCUCAGGUGUUGGAAAUGGGUGGGGGGUUUAAAUUUCAUGAAGUGUGCUAAUUGCUUGAUA